Crocodylus porosus (Australian saltwater crocodile) is the source of this 1624-nucleotide long non-coding RNA. NCBI's taxonomy places the organism in Eukaryota, Metazoa, Chordata, Crocodylia, Crocodylidae. The record is from Ensembl.
GUUUGACAAAAAGCAGCCUUCAAAUGACGGUGACGUAUUCAUGACUACAAAAGAAAGCAUUGCCUACCAAGAAAGAUGCUGCACUCAUUGACUUCCUUCCACAUGCUACAAAGAAGGUUAAAAUGGGCCAGCUGGCUAGCUACACUUAAAAGAAGGAACGUGUUCUUAAGUCAUCUUAUUUUCCUGCUGAGGGUUAAGCAAUUAAACCCAUCCUUCCUGAGACAAAUUCCUGGCCUACCUUUCCUAAGACUAAUUACAGAAAGUGAUUUGGUAUUUGGAUCUGGAGUGGGGAAAAAAGCAGCUGAGGAGGAUUUACUGACUGUCUUUUCUACAUCUGGAUAUCACAUUGAAAUAGGAUUGAGGCUCAGAGCCUCUCUCUCUCAUCUCUGACAAUCCAUAAAAAGAAAAUGCUGUGGCAUCUACGCAUUGGCAACACUCCUUCAAUAGUUUCUAUUCCAAAGUAUCAGUAGAGGAACCAUCUGUGUGCACCGUGGCUUUUCAGCAUCCCUGAGAAUAUCAUCACAGCAAUGGAGGAGUGCAAGGAAUACAACAAACUACAUUUGUCCAUUAGAAAAAUCAAACACGUUAUUUUUCUGGAGUAAUGGACUGUGUUUGCUGUCUAGCUAUAAAAGUUUUAUGCACAUUGAUGAUGUUCUGCAACGAUUUUUCAUUUCUCCAUUUACUUGUGUGUGUGUAUUUGUAACUGCAUGAAUAUUCAGAAAUUGUUUAUACUGUUUCUUAUGUGCUUCUCAGCCAUAAAUUCCGAGUUUCAUUCUGACUCAGUCUUGCUGUAUCUCAGAAAUCAUUUUUAGUUAUUUAUUCCUCAAAGAUUGAUCCCAGUUUUGCUUCUCUCAGUAACCAAUGAAACAUUUUUUUAUUUACAUAUUUGGAGAUUUUAAUCUCACAGUUAUCUAUCUUCAUGUCAGUCACUACUUACUGCUGAGGAACAUUUUGGAAUCUCUUCCAUUAGAGGCUUUCAAAUAGAAGCCAGAUAAGCAUUUUUUCCUCAACUAAUUUAGGAAUAGUACAGUUGUGCAGGGUUUGGACUAGAUCUCUGUGAGGUCCCUUCCAACCCAAUGAUUUCAUGAUAGGAGCUCAUGUAGACGAACACAAUCUAGCUUUCAACUUGCUUGAACGUUGAUAGCUGUGUAACUGCAGUAGCUCAGUGGUUGUUAUCUGCAGAGCUAAGAACCAGAGUAUUAGACAUACCUUUUGGCUUCUUGGACAUACUUUUCAACCUCCUCUAAGUUCUGCAGUACUGCUACACCAUUAAUAAUGCCAAAGUCAGUUAGUGUAAAGCCACCUCUGGCAUGUAUUUAUGAGCGGCUGUCAAAACAGCAACUAUAGCAUACACAUACCCUUUGAGAAAUGUUGCAACAGGAAUACCAGAAAAAGACAGGUUGCCAAAAUUGGGUCUGAUUGUUCUAGGAAAGUACUGGAAAUAUAUAAAGGAAUAGCAUUUCUAUGGUGGAUGGCAUGGGGGAUUUUGGCAUUCAAUUCCAUUAUUUUUUCUGGACAUCCUGUAUUUGUCUUUUAGUACUUUUAUUUUAGUUUUUCUCUUGCUAUAACAACCACAGAUUCUUUGGACAUUAAGCACCGCAAUAAAAACUACUCGUGAAAGUCA